This is a long non-coding RNA of Hemicordylus capensis (graceful crag lizard), 263 nucleotides long. RefSeq lists it as uncharacterized. The record is from RefSeq and is a predicted model, not a curated record. The transcript is spliced from 3 exons. NCBI's taxonomy places the organism in Eukaryota, Metazoa, Chordata, Lepidosauria, Squamata, Cordylidae.
AAUAAAACCCCAUUUGGAGACAGACUUGGAGACUAUACAUGGGAUAGCUGCCUGGUUUUCUAUAACAGGAGAAGUUCACCAUGAAGAAGGAGAUGGUGGCAGAUGGUUCUUUGCUCAAGGACUGGGUGUUUCAAAAUGAUGGCUGAAGGAAUGUGAUUGUAUCCAUACCUAAGAAAAGAUUUUACAGAGGAAUGCUUCUAAGAGAGUGCCUGCUGUGACUUGUGCCUGCGUCAUCUAAAAACUAAUAAUAAAGUAUAUUUUCA